Molecule: ribosomal RNA, 507 nt
Filed under: uncultured bacterium
Lineage: Bacteria
Description: bacterial SSU rRNA
Rfam family: Bacterial small subunit ribosomal RNA
Source: RNAcentral
AACGAACGCUGGCGGCAUGCCUAACACAUGCAAGUCGAACGGGAUCCAUCCUUCGGGGUGGUGAGAGUGGCGGACGGGUGAGUAACGCGUGGGAACCUGCCCAGUGGUGGGGGAUAACUGCGGGAAACUGCAGCUAAUACCGCAUGAGCCCGAGAGGGGAAAGAUUUAUCGCCAUUGGAGGGGCCCGCGUUCGAUUAGGUAGUUGGUGGGGUAAUGGCCUACCAAGCCGACGAUCGAUAGCUGGUCUGAGAGGAUGAUCAGCCACACUGGGACUGAGAUACGGCCCAGACUCCUACGGGAGGCAGCAGUGGGGAAUAUUGGACAAUGGGGGCAACCCUGAUCCAGCUAUGCCGCGUGAGUGAUGAAGGCCUUAGGGUUGUAAAGCUCUUUUGCCAGGGACGAUGAUGACGGUACCUGGAGAAUAAGCCCCGGCUAACUUCGUGCCAGCAGCCGCGGUAAUACGAAGGGGGCAAGCGUUGUUCGGAAUUACUGGGCGUAAAGGGCGAC